AUAUUUGUUUUGGUUUGCGACGUUCUAGACUUUAUAUGUUUGUAACGGCCCGAGGGCCACGGUUCACAGAGGUUGGUUGGAUAAGCCCCGAGGGACGUUCACUAAUGAUCCUUCCGCAGGUUCACCUACGGAAA
Molecule: unclassified non-coding RNA, 134 nt
Filed under: uncultured fungus
Lineage: Eukaryota; Fungi
Description: sequence contains ITS1
Source: RNAcentral